UCCAUGGUUUGAUUGAACGUUUCUCAAAAAUGGGUAAAAGGUGCAUGAUCAUAGCAACUAUUUUGGCCAUCAUCUUUGUGUUGUCUCUUACCUCGAUGUGUGAUGCAUCUCGAUUGAUUUAUCAAGAAUUUGGUGCUAAGUUGGAAAAAUGUGGCCCUUGUUUCUGCUGCCAACCGAAUAGUCCACCGUGCUGCCUCUGCGCCUGCCCCGUGCCACCGUGAAAAGCCACAGUUCCAGGCUAGAUUUUGCUGAUAAAUAUUGAAUAAGUUGAAGAUGUAAGAAAUUUAAAAGAUAUUUGGUCUGUGGUCUCAUGUGUAUUUCUGUACUUAGAUUGAUAAAUAAGCUUAUAAACAAUCAUUUCUUGUUA
This is a long non-coding RNA of Salvia splendens (bonfire salvia), 367 nucleotides long. RefSeq lists it as uncharacterized. The transcript is spliced from 2 exons. The record is from RefSeq and is a predicted model, not a curated record. NCBI's taxonomy places the organism in Eukaryota, Viridiplantae, Streptophyta, Magnoliopsida, Lamiales, Lamiaceae.